AGAAGGGGGAAGAGAGGGAGACAGCGCCGGUGGUGGGCACCAUUGCCACCGUCGCUGCCGAUGUGCCGUCAGGAGGAAGAUCCGAGGGAGAGAGAGAGAGCGUGGAGUUGAGGGAGCAGAGAAGCGUGCCGCCACCUCCAGACGCUGUUGCCACCGCCGUUCACGAAGAGGGAAGAGAGAGCUCGCGGGUGAGAGAGGGAGCGUCGCGCCAGCCACUGACCUCGCGUUCGUCGUCAUCUUUGCGGGACUCAUGCCGCUGCCGUCACCUCGCCGUGAAGUCCGUCGCGGCGUCGCCGUCAGGAGUCCGAAUCCGAGGGAGGAGAAGGGCUGUCGUCAUUCUGUGCCGCCGCGUCCUACCACCGCUGCUGCUGGGCCGCCGUCACUAUGAGGAACAGAACGCACGAGACAGAGGAUAGGGAGCUUCGUGGAAGCUCCGCCACUGCCAACGCCGUUGUCGAAAUUGGGCUAGAUUCACCGUGAGGCUAAUGCCGCUAGGACGCGUGUCUAGGUCUGAUUUUUGUUCUUCUGCCGCUGAGAGCCAACACCAGAGCUAUUCCUAAUGAUUCUGUCACUGUAAUUGCAAUUUAUAUUAACACGGCUGUUGUAAGAGGCGUCGCGACUGUUGCUGUUCCGUGGAGCUUAUUGUUAUCACUGUCGCCGUGAAUUGAAAGAAAAGGAAAUUAUCAUGAUAAGUUACGUGGAUUCAGCUAACUGAGCUUUACCUUUUCAGGAACCGGAUGAAGAAGCGUUAAGAAGAGUUAUAUUGCGUUUGGUUGAUAUGUUGUUGUAUUAGUUAGAUUAUUUUCUUCCCUCGUCUUUGUUAUUACAAGUUUGUAAGAGGGAUAGGAAAUUUUAUGUUUUAUAUGUAUAAUAUAUUAUGAGUUAUUAUGUAAGAAGUCUUGUAUAUGAAUCUAUGCUUGUUUGUAGUUUUCUUAAGGUAAAGUGUUUAUUUUCGGUUUUAAAGGAAAUCAGCGGUACAGAAUCGAGUCACAGGCUCCUAUUUUAGUAUUUAGUAUGUAAAGUAGUCGUAAUACUCCUUGCUAUCAGAGUAGCGCAGCCGGAAGCGUGACUUCUGAUAGUGAGGGUGUUACAUAGGGUGUUACAUUUUCAAUGUCUAUGUUAUUUUGAAGUAACUAAAUUUGUAUGUAUAAGCUUCAUAAAAAAUUUGCUGGUCUUUCUGAGUAUAGAGAACUUCAUGGAU
Long non-coding RNA from Arachis duranensis, 1201 nucleotides. RefSeq lists it as uncharacterized. The transcript is spliced from 4 exons. The record is from RefSeq and is a predicted model, not a curated record. NCBI's taxonomy places the organism in Eukaryota, Viridiplantae, Streptophyta, Magnoliopsida, Fabales, Fabaceae.